AGCCACUGAUGAUGAACUAAAUACAUUUUCUGACACCUCAUAUGAGAGCUAAGCUCCUGAUUCUAAUGUUAAUCUGAGGCUC
Small nucleolar RNA from Salarias fasciatus (jewelled blenny), 82 nucleotides. The record is from Ensembl. Lineage: Eukaryota; Metazoa; Chordata; Actinopteri; Blenniiformes; Blenniidae.